UUUACAACCAAUGAUUUAGGCAAUCUAUUGAGGAAAAAGAAAACAAUCUAGAGCCAAAGCUAUAAAACAAGCUUCAUUUAUACCAUCAACCUCUACGUCAAUUUGAAGGAGUCUGUUCCGGAAUUUUGUUUGUGCUAGAUUAUAGAUAUUAGUUUCUGUAAGAAAAUUGUCAUGGCUUUUAUUUUAUUUUGUUGGUUUAUCAGCAAAUUUGUGUGUUCUUUUUUAUGAAGAGCGUCAACCUCUACGUCAAUUUGAAGGAGUCUGUUCCGGAAUUUUGUUUGUGCUAGAUUAUAGAUAUUAGUUUCUGUAAGAAAAUUGUCAUGGCUUUUAUUUUAUUUUGUUGGUUUAUCAGCAAAUUUGUGUGUUCUUUUUUAUGAAGAGCG
RNAcentral lists this unclassified non-coding RNA (383 nucleotides) under Hevea brasiliensis (rubber tree). The record is from RNAcentral. Lineage: Eukaryota; Viridiplantae; Streptophyta; Magnoliopsida; Malpighiales; Euphorbiaceae.